GACGGGGGGUCCUAGCGUUGUUCGGAAUCAUUGGGCGUAAAGCGGGCGUAGGUGGCUAUGUAAGUCAGGAGUGAAAGCCCUGGGCUCAACCCAGGAAGUGCUUUUGAAACUGCGUAGCUUGAGUGUGGAAGAGGAUAGUGGAAUUCCUGGUGUAGUGGUGAAAUACGUAGAUAUCGGGAGGAACACCAGUGGCGAAGGCGACUUCCUGGCCUGUUCUUGACGCUGAGGCGCGAAAGCUAGGGGAGCAAACGGG
RNAcentral lists this ribosomal RNA (253 nucleotides) under uncultured prokaryote. RNAcentral describes it as "partial 16S ribosomal RNA". It matches the Rfam family "Bacterial small subunit ribosomal RNA", at positions 524 to 776 of the family's 1533-position model. The record is from RNAcentral.